RNAcentral lists this long non-coding RNA (775 nucleotides) under Ananas comosus (pineapple). Its description in RNAcentral is "long non-coding RNA (ACOM_LNC002970)". Lineage: Eukaryota; Viridiplantae; Streptophyta; Magnoliopsida; Poales; Bromeliaceae. The record is from RNAcentral.
CGUCGCCGCCGCCGCCGCCCCCGCGGAUCUCGGCUAUCGCUGUAGUCACGAUCUCGGCUAAUUUUCUAAAUUUUAAUUUUUAAAAUUUAAAAUUUAAAAUUAUUUAAUAGUUAAUAAUUUAAAUUUAAAUUUUAAACUUUUAUUUUAAAUUUUUAGAUUUUAAAGUCAUUUAAUAACUAAUAAUUUAAGUUUUAACUUUCAAGGCUAAUUUUUAAAGAUUAUCAGAAAUUCUAUAGAAUUGUAUAAUAUGUAUCCAAAUAGCUUUUAAAAUAAACCCGUGGAAUUUUUUUGAAGUUACAGGAUACUCCAUUUUGAAGUUACAGGAUAUUCCAUUUCAUUUGGACCAAAACUACUGUAUUUUGACUCCCUGAAAUUUUUUUACUACUCAUCCAAACAGGGCCUUAGGCCCCGUUUGGAUACCUCUAAAAACGUAGCAUAGUUUAACGCCGGUAGAAAAAUAAUCCUAUGAAGCGUUUGGAAGAAAAAAAAAUAAAGUAAUUUUUGAAGUAUAGUUAUACUAUACUUCAAAAAAAAAAUGGAGUAAACUUACAAUCUACUUUAACCAAAGGAAAAAAUUUUCACAAUUUUGGGCUCCCAAAGAUGCAUCAAUUUCUAAAUUUUAAAUUUCAAAAUAAAAUUUUAAAUUUCAAAUUUUAAAAUUUUAAAAUUCAAUUUUAAUUUUGAUUUUAAAUUUCAAAUUUCAAAUUUCAACUUUCAACUUUCAACUUUCAAAUUUCAAAUUUCAAAUUUCAAAUUUCAAAUUUCAAAAAGUUCA